GGUUGAGGCAAUAUAAAGAAAUAAGGAGGAAAAAGCUGCUGGGGGUUCACAAGAAAUCAAUGAGUUUCUCAGAACUGGUCAAUGGAAAAAGCAGACAUAUACAGUAUGCGUUACACACACAGCAGGUGCAAUGUGGGGCCUCGUCAUUGUUGGGUGAGAUGCGGGAGACUCCAUGCCAUAGGAGUGAUGACAAAGCAUGGCCGAUCCAAGCCAUGGUGUCUCCCAGCCGGCUGGGGAGUGUCAGCAGAUCUGCAUUAUGAGCUAGCGGAGGCUCGUCGAGGCCUAGGCUGAGCUGCCUUUAGUGCCUGACCCUCACUGGGGAGAGCAACCAGAAGAUAAAAGUGAAGGAUCAUCCAAUGCUCUGCUGGAAAAGGCAGCUCUGCAAGAGCAGGAGGUCUGGAGGAGACAGCAGAAAGACUGAACACAACCGGAAUUUGGUCACACUUCAAGUAAAGGAUUAUUAAUUACCAAGGGCAUGAGGAGACACCUUAGAGAAAGUAAAUGCAUGUAUUCGACAGAGUAUAAAAGCAGGAUAAGCGUUUGACAGACUGUGAAGGAAAGAUUAUACAACAUUCUUUAUUCCAUCAACAAAGGAUUAUUUCAUCAGUUCAGUUAUUAAGGGUUGCUGUCAAUUGGUAUUUUCCUCUCUGUGCCUGCAGCGAUCUGAAGGACAAACUUGACACUAUUCUGCAAGAUACCAAUUUCUUUGUUUCCUUUUCAGUUUAUUUAUUUUUUAUGUUAUUCUUGUUUAAAUGGGUUCUCCAUGUGACCCUGCACUGGGCACCUGGCUGUAAGAUGGAUAGAUGUAUGUAUGGAUGGAUGCAGAGUCAGGGAUGGGCUCCCUCAAACCAGUGCCAACCCAACCUCGGUCAACACUGAUGCCCUCCAUGAAAAUCUUGAGCCUAACAAUCAGAUUUGUUUCUGUGGAUGGAUGGAUAGUUUGACUUCCUUUUGUGUCUGUACGGUUUGUAUUGC
Long non-coding RNA from Paramormyrops kingsleyae, 975 nucleotides. RefSeq lists it as uncharacterized. NCBI's taxonomy places the organism in Eukaryota, Metazoa, Chordata, Actinopteri, Osteoglossiformes, Mormyridae. The record is from RefSeq and is a predicted model, not a curated record.